GCCCCGGUGGCUUAGUGGUAUAGUAUUCGGUUUGGGACCGAAAGGUCCCGGGUUCGAUCCCCGGUCGGGGCC
Molecule: transfer RNA, 72 nt
Organism: Enterocytozoon bieneusi H348
Lineage: Eukaryota; Fungi; Microsporidia; Enterocytozoonidae
Rfam family: tRNA
About the family: Transfer RNA (tRNA) molecules are approximately 80 nucleotides in length. Their secondary structure includes four short double-helical elements and three loops (D, anti-codon, and T loops). Further hydrogen bonds mediate the characteristic L-shaped molecular structure. tRNAs have two regions of fundamental functional importance: the anti-codon, which is responsible for specific mRNA codon recognition, and the 3' end, to which the tRNAs corresponding amino acid is attached (by aminoacyl-tRNA synthetases). tRNAs cope with the degeneracy of the genetic code in two manners: having more than one tRNA (with a specific anti-codon) for a particular amino acid; and 'wobble' base-pairing, i.e. permitting non-standard base-pairing at the 3rd anti-codon position.
Source: Rfam